CAUGCAAGUCGAGGGGCAGCAUGAACUUAGCUUGCUAAGUUUGAUGGCGACCGGCGCACGGGUGAGUAACACGUAUCCAACCUGCCGAUGACUCGGGGAUAGCCUUUCGAAAGAAAGAUUAAUACCCGAUGGCAUAGUUCUUCCGCAUGGUAGAACUAUUAAAGAAUUUCGGUCAUCGAUGGGGAUGCGUUCCAUUAGGUUGUUGGCGGGGUAACGGCCCACCAAGCCUUCGAUGGAUAGGGGUUCUGAGAGGAAGGUCCCCCACAUUGGAACUGAGACACGGUCCAAACUCCUACGGGAGGCAGCAGUGAGGAAUAUUGGUCAAUGGACGAGAGUCUGAACCAGCCAAGUAGCGUGAAGGAUGACUGCCCUAUGGGUUGUAAACUUCUUUUAUACGGGAAUAAAGUGAGGCACGUGUGCCUUUUUGUAUGUACCGUAUGAAUAAGGAUCGGCUAACUCCGUGCCAGCAGCCGCGGUAAUACGGAGGAUCCGAGCGUUAUCCGGAUUUAUUGGGUUUAAAGGGAGCGUAGGCGGACGCUUAAGUCAGUUGUGAAAGUUUGCGGCUCAACCGUAAAAUUGCAGUUGAUACUGGGUGUCUUGAGUACAGUAGAGGCAGGCGGAAUUCGUGGUGUAGCGGUGAAAUGCUUAGAUAUCACGAAGAACUCCGAUUGCGAAGGCAGCCUGCUGGACUGUAACUGACGCUGAUGCUCGAAAGUGUGGGUAUCAAACAGGAUUAGAUACCCUGGUAGUCCACACAGUAAACGAUGAAUACUCGCUGUUUGCGAUAUACAGUAAGCGGCCAAGCGAAAGCGUUAAGUAUUCCACCUGGGGAGUACGCCGGCAACGGUGAAACUCAAAGGAAUUGACGGGGGCCC
Molecule: ribosomal RNA, 875 nt
Filed under: uncultured bacterium
Lineage: Bacteria
Description: bacterial SSU rRNA
Rfam family: Bacterial small subunit ribosomal RNA
Source: RNAcentral